GGAUCGCAAGACCUUGCGCUUUUGGAGCGGCCGAUGUCUGAUUAGCUAGUUGGUGAGGUAAAGGCUUACCAAGGCUUCGAUCAGUAGCUGGUCUGAGAGGACGACCAGCCACACUGGGACUGAGACACGGCCCAGACUCCUACGGGAGGCAGCAGUGGGGAAUUUUGGACAAUGGGGGCAACCCUGAUCCAGCCAUGCCGCGUGAGUGAAGAAGGCCUUCGGGUUGUAAAGCUCUUUCAGCCGGAACGAAAAGGUUACGGUUAAUACCCGUGACUAAUGACGGUACCGGAAGAAGAAGCACCGGCUAACUACGUGCCAGCAGCCGCGGUAAUACGUAGGGUGCGAGCGUUAAUCGGAAUUACUGGGCGUAAAGCGUGCGCAGGCGGUUUUGUAAGUCAGAUGUGAAAUCCCCGGGCCUAACCUGGGAACUGCGUUUGAA
RNAcentral lists this ribosomal RNA (439 nucleotides) under uncultured beta proteobacterium. RNAcentral's name for it is "bacterial SSU rRNA". It matches the Rfam family "Bacterial small subunit ribosomal RNA", at positions 201 to 631 of the family's 1533-position model. Lineage: Bacteria; Pseudomonadati; Pseudomonadota; Betaproteobacteria. The record is from RNAcentral.